Molecule: non-coding RNA, 3735 nt
Organism: Nicotiana tabacum (common tobacco)
Lineage: Eukaryota; Viridiplantae; Streptophyta; Magnoliopsida; Solanales; Solanaceae
Source: RefSeq, a predicted model, not a curated record
UAUGUCAAUCUUGUUAUUUUUUUCUUUUUUCUAAAAGUAAACGAUCACGGGAGAGGGGAGAUGGGCGUGUAUGGUGUUAUUUUUUGCGUAUUAAUUAACUAUUUUUUCUUUUUAUUUCUUUUUUUUUUGAUUUAUUCUUUCAAAAUUGUCGUACAUUAAAAUUCCUAUUCUUCUUUUGCCACCGUAAAAUCUUAUAUGAUUAAAUAAAAUGUGUAUAUUAAAACUAGUAGCAAUGUAUGAUGUAACAUAUAGUCAAUGGGUUCAACUGAUCUCAAUAUUUUCAACAUGAAAAAUAGAUAUAGAUGUAAGAAAAUUACUAUUUUAAAAAAAAAUUGAACUUAUAAUUCCAAAAGUGUAAUGGGUACGCAAUCGUAAGAAUUAAAGGUUGAACCCAUAAAAUUUAUAUUCUGGAUUCACCUCUUCUUAAUAGUGCACCCGCCCUGCCAAAAUCAUGGAUCCGCUUCUGUAAUAUAUACUGAGUAUGUAGUAUCUCUCUUUAUAUCGAAUAGUUUAAUUGAUAGAGUGGAAAAAACAUGUUUACCUUCAAAUAAAAUCAAAUGUAGCUAAUUGAACGUGAUUUCUCCUUUUAAAAUAAUCUCGGAUAUAAUUAACUUUUACAAUUAGAAAAACUUUUUCAGCUUUGACUAAUGAAUGAAUACAGGACACAUGUCUUUUAUAAAAUGAAUGAGUAUCAGACACGUGUCUUUUAUAUAUACAUUUAUCACAUAAUUAUAGUUAAGUGGUAUAGUUAAGUGGUAUAUACUCUAUUUAACUUUUAAUUGGUAUAGCUAAAUUACUUAAUUUGGUGUAAACAGUGUUUAUCCGAAUAACUUAUGUGAUUGAGUUUAAUCAAAAUAAUGCUUCUAGCGCAUCCAUGGGAAUUACUUGGGCGUUUUGACAGUUUAGAACAAGUCACAUGAAACCAUGCAACUUUCUUGCAGAUCUUUAGGAUUAUGUCUUUAAGAGAUUAUGGAAAUUUCAAUGUUUUUUAACACUUCUUUUCUCUGUUUAUUCACAUUCAAGGAAAAAGAAGAAGUAUUUAAUUUCUCCAUUUACUUUGGAAAUUAAGAAAUGGACAACCUGUUUGGUGAAAUAGAUUGUAGAUCAAAGUCAGAUGGAAUAGUGAUGGGAAUUCUAAGAUCUGCCAUGGACAAAGCACAUGAAAAGGUCCAAUCUGAAGCUGGAUCCAUUGAGUUUCUUCACGAGAGAUCAAAGUUCUAUGAAUUAGCAGUGAUCCUUGUAGAAUCAGGUCUAAGCAUUGUUCAAGAAGAAACUGAUAUUCUUGAAAGCAACCGCGAAAAGGUCAUCUCAGACUUAACAGAAAUGAGGCAUUGGCUCUUGGGAAGGAUUAAGGUAAUGAAACUCUUAAUCACUGAGAAAGAUAGAGAAUUAACAGAGAGGACUGAAAAUGAGUUAAAGCUCAGACAGAUUUUGGAAUCCAAAGAAAGAGAACUUGUUUUUAUUCGCGAGAAACUUGAGCUUCAGAGAACAAAGAGUGAAGGGUCCCAAGAUUUGCGAUUAGUGCUAAAGAAUGGAGCUAAAGAAGGUGAAACUAGUGACUCGAAAUCUGAUUCAGAGCUUCUAAAUGAGGGAAGUUGUCAAAAUGACUUGUAUGGACGUUACCAUAUUCCUGAAAUAAAGCCAAUGACUGAUCAUUCAUUAAGGCCUGAAAAGAACAAUGUGAUUCAACAGAUGAGUUCUGAUAUAGACAUUUUAAAAGAAACCUUGGAUUUUGCAUUUGGGAGAAGGGAUAAUGGUGAGAUGGUUCCUUUAGAGAAGCAAUGGAGGUGUACCAUUGAGAAAGAUACAUUAUCUGUCUUGAUAAAAGGAUUCAUAAAUGAUAUCCAACAAAGAUUUGAAUCAGAGUUGAGGAAGAGGGGUGAUCAAAUUCCACUUGAAUUUUCAAAUGAGAACUUAUCAGAAUCUAUCUGUGAGAUAACAGCGUUGCGCCAUGAACUAGAGACCUUCUAUCGUAGACAUGAGGAGGAAAGGAAAACAAUGAACAAGAAAGAUAUCUUAGGCCAAAAGUUGCCCAAGGUUCGUCGAACGUGUAGUGAGCCUUUGCCAAAAGUUGCUCAUCAACUGCCUGAUCAGGAGGACCAAGAGGCUGGUGGAAGUAAUUACGUUGCUAAGAUUAAGAAUCAUGAGUCAAUUAAAAAGAAGCAGUUCGAAGAUCGAAAUUGUAAAUCCAUCUUACACAAGAAAGACAUGGAACUUGAUAUCUUGGACAGAAUGAUAAAAGAUGUCAUCACAAGAUUGGAUGCUAUAAUAAGCUCCCUGAACGUUAAGUCAGUCGCUAAAAAACAUGUGAAAGAGGAAGAAAACUUUCGUAAGGAAAAUUUAUCCAAUUCUUUCAUUGGAGAUAAAGUGGAAAGUAGUGAUUGUGCUUGUGAAAUUUUGAGAGAUGAGGUGAAAUUACUAAAUGAAGAGGUGGAUAAUUUAAAUUUGCAGAUAUCAAUCUUGGAAGAGAUUCAUUUGAUCCUUUAUGAAGGUUUGUUGAAAGACCAGAAUGUUGCUUAUUUUGAGUCAAUUAAAAACACUAAAAGUACUAUUACUUUCUUGCUAAACCAAUUUGAUGCAAAAGAUGAAAAUGCAGAAACAUUUAUUAAGGGCUUAAAAGAUGGCAACAUCUUACCAGAGACUAUAGGGAGCACAUUGAAAGAGGAUGUCUACAUGGUAUUCUUCUUUGAAAUGGUUAAGGAAUGGAAGGAGGAAAAAGAUGAUUUUUAUAUGGAAAUUCAAAUAAGAGAAGAUAUAUACAAGUUUAUCAUGGUUGAGGCUGUGAAAGAUGUACAUACCAAAAUUUCAGAAUAUUUGAAUCCUGCUUAUAAGAAGGUGGAAAUUGAUGGAACUGAGGAAAGCCUGAUUCAAAAGCUUGAUUCUUUGUUAAAAUGUCUCGAGUCAGAGGAAGAUCUAAUGGCGAAAGCAAGUUCUGAGAUAGAAGAACACAAUGUGCGUCAUGAACAAGAAAUCUUGGAAUGUGAAGAGGUUGAGGAGCGCGAGACUAUUGAAUGGCUGUUGAAUGAUGAUGAGUGCACUUUCACUUGUGUGAACGAAAAACUAGAGAUCGCGAUGAGACAAUUGUCUACAAGCAAAGAAUUGUUGUUUGAUUUGGAACAAAGUCUUGGAAUUUCACCUGAUUUGUUAGCAAAAAGUACUGAUGAUUGCCUACACACAAACAGAAGUGUUGUGUCUCAAACUGAAGAACCAAAAGAGCUCAAUAUUGGUGAAGUAGAGGAUGAUAAAAUGUCAGUUAUUAAUCCAUCUGAUGUUUUGGUCUUAGCACAGCUAGCAGAUUUUGAUCAAGUGAUUCAAAAAUUUGAGGUCAAUGUAGUUCACAAUCUAGACGCUAAAUCGUCGAGGUGGAUUUGCUGGGGGAUCAGGUAGAAGCACUUUUGCAUCUGCUUGAGAAAAUAUACGUGAUACUGGACCAAAAUUCAACUGUUUUAUCUUGCCAUUUUCAGGUGUUUGACAUCUUAAAACUCAUCAAAGACAAGUUGGGAGAUGCAGUUGCUUGUGUAUCUACUUCUUAGUAUAUAAAAUCCAAUAUUUAAUUUUUGUAUAACAUGCUCAUUUGCUUAUAUGAACGUAGAAUCUUCUUUCUUUUGUGAACUACCAGCAGUCCAGCACAUAAGAAUUAUGCAAGUCAUCAUUAGAAGCGGGUUUACGACCAUUUAAUAACCACAUUGUAUCAUAUUGUGUUUAUAUUUACAUAUCAUAUGUGUUAGGCUUGGA